AUGGAGAACCUCUUCAUGCAGGUCUUCGAGCGCCGGGACUGGGUCACCGGGCAGAUGCGCCAGCAGGUCGACUCCCACGCCGAGUCCCUCGCCUGCGCCUUCCUCGCCGCCGGCCAUCGCCCCCCGCCGUGGCUCCUCCCCUCCUGCGCCGCCGGUCCGCAAGAGCUAAAUGGUAAACCAAUUGUUCCGGGGUUACUUUUUGCUGGAAGCCAGAUUACUACACCAGCAACCAACAGAACAGUCUUUCAACCUCCAGCUGUGCCUAGUAUUUCACUCAGAAAUAUGGAGGUUCCAGAUGGAUACGCUGGUCUAGACACUAUUUGUGAUACCAUGGAUACUAACCAACAUGAAGUGCCUCAGCAAAAACAGGUUUCAGUUGACCAGGAGGUUGUUGAGGCUAAUUCUGAUGUCAACAUGUUCUCUGUGGUAAAGCGUUCCAGGUCAAGGCAGCGGCAUAUUGAAGAUCGCUCGCGGGAGAAGGGUCAAGCUACAAAUAGUGGAACCAGUGAUGUUAUGCAAGACAGGAUGCAGAGGUCUGAACUUGCAACUGCAGGUUCGAACAAAACAACUGCAUCAUUAUCGUCCAACCCAUGUGGUGAUGGUGAAAACAAUGCUGGAAGAAUGGCCUCUUUGCCAUGUCAGGAGAAAGGUUUUUAUGCCAACCAGGAUAGAUCAACUGAAUUCGUCAAGUGCAGUAAAGAUGGUGAUCUUGGAAAUCAAGGAGUUCAGUUAGAUUGUUCUCAAAACCAGAUUGUUAGUUCUGAUAAUAAUGUCAAGGUUUCUGUUAGAAGUUCUUUUGGAGUGCAAGUUACAGGCAGCGUGUGCCAUGCACUCCCUGAAACUUAUCUGUCGGUUGAGCCGAAAAAACUUCAAUUUGAUGGUGUUGAAUCAGUUUGUAUGAAUCCUGUAAGUGAACAGAUGAUGCAGCAACCAGUAUGUGCCCUGGAAGGUGCCAAUCUUGAUCUUGCUGAGGCACAUCCCUUAAAUGAAGACCCAUCUUCUACCAGCUAUUCUCAAGUUCCUCCUUUUAUGGGCAGAUUAUUGCUUGAUGGUGUGGAAUCAGGAUAUUUGAACCCUGACAGUGUACCAGUGAAGCAGCAGCAGAAAAGUGCUUUGGAAUGUGCCAUUCUUGAUCUUACUGGCGUGCAUUCCGGAAAGGAGGACCAAUCUCCGACCAGUUCACUUGAAGUACCUAAUCCUACCAGCAUACUAUUGGUUGAAAGGGAUACACUGCACACUGUAGAAGAUACUGAAAGACUAACGAGACCUGACAGUUCUUCAGAUCGGAUCAUCACUCGGAGUUCUGUGUCUUUUGUACAACAGUGCUCUGAUUCUCAUGUUUCACAUCCUCCAUACAGUCAAACUUUGCAGUCACCUACCCAACUAGGCGAUACUAUUUUUGGGGCUCCUGCAUCAUCACGAAUAUUGCCGGACAGUCUGUUAGAGGAGUCCGACAGUGAGGACCUCUCACAUUCACCCGUAAUUAAGNNNGAUAACGAAUGCUCCAAAUUGGAGUCCACUGAUUGCCCAGACCAGGUUCAACCUCAGACUAUAGAAGAUACUGAAAGAAUGACGAGACCUAACAGUUCUUCAGAUCGGGUCGUCACUGGGAGUUCUGUGUCUUUCGAACAACAGUGCUCUGAUUCUCAUGUUUCACAUCCUCCAUACAGUGAAACUCUGCAGUCACCUACCCAACUAGCUGAUACUAGUUUUGGGGCUCAUGCGCCAUCACAAAUAUUGCUGGAUAGUUUGUUAGAGGAGGCCGACAGUGAGGACCUCUCACAUUCACCUGUAAAUGAUGUGGAUAACCACUGCUCCCAAUUGGAGUCUGCUGAAUGCCCUGAGCAGCUUCAACCUCAGAUUGGUCCUUUGGGCGAUGCUUGUAAAACAAGCCUCUCUCCUUAUGAAAUACAAAGUAAUGACACACAUUCCAAUGGUUGUGCUGUUGUAAAUGUCUCUGUAUCUGAAGAAAAUCACUUAUCUCAGGAGCAACAUUUGUUGGCCAGAACAUCUUUAGAAUUCAAGGAGACCGAUGUGGAGACUCCCUUUGGCCCUGCUUCCCCGGUCACACAAAAUGAGACGCUCAAUGGGAAGGCAGCAUAUGAUGCGGUCAACUGCCAUUCAGGAAAGUUGGAUGAUGUUCAGUUAAAAUUUUCAGCUUUGACCAAAGCAUGCAACAUUUCUGUCAGCAACAAAGAAGACGAGUCUGUAGUGCCAGAAGUUAUGAGCAGUGCUUCAGCUAGGAGAACCAGCGAAAUGCACUCAACUGAAAGGAACAGUAUGACUUCGGCCGAAGAUCUGCAAAAAAAUGGAACAGAACAAAAGACCUCUCUUCUUGAGAAUGCUGUUAAAGAAAAUGGUAAUUCAUGUACAGCAGAAAACGAUAAACAGAAAUUUUCACAACCUUCUGUUCAGUACUUCUUACAUAGUGCAGUAUCACAUGAGAAAAUCAAUCCGCUCAAGUCAGACAGAAGCAGUGUUGCUUGUGACCAGAAGAGAUCUGUUCAAGAUGGAGUUAAAGUAAAUGAUAGUUUGUCAUCUAAAAGGAGAAGAAUAAGGCACCGAUCAGACUUUGACCUUUCCAGGACACCUUGCACAAAUUCAGUGUCUCUGAACCACCAAGUUGACAUUGCUGGUCCUAUGUUAACUGCGACAAAUUUCUCGGAGAAAUCCCAUCCUUCGAGUCCUUACUUCUCAAGGAGUUCAGGAUCCUGCAAGAGCAUGUCUCUGGUGUCAGAGGGGGGAAAUGCUGCAAGUGACGUUUAUGGAAAUGGGAAUUCUUCAUGGGGAAGAAGAAAUGCAACUAGCCUAUUAAAUGUUGUCCUUGAUAACUCUCCUACUGCAAGCACCAGCAGGAGUGCAUUGGAGGGAAGGAUCUUCAAAACUUCUCAAGAACAGAAACAAAAUAAGUUGGAAGUUGAGUUUCUGACAACGACUGCUGCUUUGCCUUAUUGCUCUGGCAUCCUAUCUCAUAACGAGGAAAGCUGCACACAACAGGAAGGUACUUGCUUAGAAGGUCAAGACCUAAAUGUCACUGCUGCAAGUGUGGCAGACCAGGAAACGGCUCUUGAGACGGACAACUUAUCAUCUCCUAUUGCAAUAUUAAAUCAAGAAAAUUAUUCUGGAACAGAACCAUUUACUCAAUUCCCGAGUUAUGCUUUAGAUCAACAUGGUGAACAAGCAUCUGCUCCGAAUGCACUGUUUCAUGGGAAAUUAUGUUAUGGAUCGAAUGUUAAGCGUGGUAGGAUAUAUAAAAGUUAUGAUCCAAAGGGACAUUUGCUGCCUGGUGCUGCUAUUUCAAUGCCAGUAUUCGAGAGAUUUGAUGUUCCUGGCCAAUUUGACAGCCCAAUUAUCGGAAAAAGGUCAUUUGAGUCCCUUCACGAUUCUUGCCAAUUAGGCACCAUCAGCUCAGGUCCUCCAAACAAGUAUAAUACCAACACAGCGAGUAGUUUGCAUCAGCUAUUGACAACUAUGUCACCAAGAAACAGUCGCGGCAUUAUGGACUCUUUCGGAUAUGGAUCGGAACUUGAUUCGUUUUUCAUUUCUGAUGACGUAGCCUCGUGCUCUUCAAAUGCCAGCAGCAGACAAGAGAUUAAUGAAACUCCAUUGACUCCAUCAGUUGAAAAAUAUAGCCUCCAGAAAAUUUCAUUAAGACCUGGAUCUGGUUCAGAACAUAUGGGUUCUAUUCCUGAACUUAAAAUCUUCCGAAUUGAUGAAGAUAACAGCAUUCUGGAAGAAGAUGAAUACCAAGACAUGGCUCCUGGAUCUGUGGAUGUGAAUUACUCAUGCCAGCGGCCCUCUGAGAGAACAGCACUUCAGGAUAUUACUGGAUUAUGUCAAAACAAUGGAAAUUCUCCGUCUCUUUCGAUGAGAUGCAUGGAUAAAGGUAACAGCAUAGGCUUUAGUGCAGAAUCUGUCAGUAGUGAGCUCACUCAUCAUUCAAAUAUAAAAAAUGAUAGCAUUAAGCGAAAAUACAAUCAUCCUACUUCAGUUAAGAGAGAAGGGAAAGCAUCCCGUUCUCUUCAUGGCAGAUUAGGUACGACAGAAAUAAUCAGUAGCACAAAUGGAAGACACAGGAGUGAAGCAAAUGUUGACAAACAAGGCAUGGCAGAACUAAAGAGCAGAAAUGGAAGACACAGGAGUGAAGCCAAUGUUGAUAGACAAUCUAAGCCUAGCAACAUUGUUGCCAAUGUGACAUCUUUUGUACCUCUGGUAAAACAAAAGUUGCAAUCUACAACAGUGUGCGUUAAAAAAGAUGUCAAGGUGAAGGCACUUAAGGCAGCUGAAGCUGCAAAACGUCUUGAAGAGAAGAAACAAAAAGAGCAAGAAAAACGCAAAGCGGCUGCAAAAGCAGAGCGUGAAAGACUGAAGCAAGAGAAGGAAUUAAAACAAAAACUUGAAGAGGAGCAAAAGAAGAAACGAGAACUUGAUGCGGCCGCUAAGAAGCGGCAGAGGGAAGAAGGAGAAAAGCGGGAAACAAUGAAAAAAAGAAAAUGCAUGGAUGAAGCUCGAAAGCAACAGAAGCAGCCUAUGGAAAAACAACGAGGCAUGAAGGAUGAGAAAGACGCUCGUCAAAAAGCUUCUGAUAAUAUGGAGCCAAGGAAGAAUUUGGUCGAUGUAGGCAAAAACCAAGUUAAAUCUGACGAGACUACUGAACAUGCCCUUCGAUACAAGGCCAAUGAAAGUAAGGAUGAGAAAGGUGUUGCAGUAGAUGACAGGAAUGCAAGUUUUGGAUCUGAUGCUAAGGAAAAUAUCCUGAACAGUCUUGAGGAGUCCUACACAAUGACUCCGUAUAAAGAUUCUGAUGAUGAGGAUGAUGAUGAUUAUGACGAACAUGAACAAGAAGCAAGGCGCAGAAGGAAACUUGUUCCUUCUUGGGCUCGAAAAGAAAACUUGGAUAAUAUCUUACUAUCCAAUAAAACAUUAGACGCUAGAGAAAUUUUUGCACGGAAGCUGUCCUUCAACAUACCUGAAGUCCUUUCGGCGGCCGUUCCGCAGCGCGGCUUAAGAUAG
RNAcentral lists this ribosomal RNA (5013 nucleotides) under Triticum aestivum (bread wheat). Its description in RNAcentral is "partial small subunit ribosomal RNA". The record is from RNAcentral. Lineage: Eukaryota; Viridiplantae; Streptophyta; Magnoliopsida; Poales; Poaceae.